This 210-nucleotide ribosomal RNA is filed under the name Klebsiella michiganensis. RNAcentral describes it as "partial 16S ribosomal RNA". It matches the Rfam family "Bacterial small subunit ribosomal RNA", at positions 1 to 218 of the family's 1533-position model. Lineage: Bacteria; Pseudomonadati; Pseudomonadota; Gammaproteobacteria; Enterobacterales; Enterobacteriaceae. The record is from RNAcentral.
AAAUUGAAGAGUUUGAUCAUGGCUCAGAUUGAACGCUGGCGGCAGGCCUAACACAUGCAAGUCGAACGGUAGCACAGAGAGCUUGCUCUUGGGUGACGAGUGGCGGACGGGUGAGUAAUGUCUGGGAAACUGCCUGAUGGAGGGGGAUAACUACUGGAAACGGUAGCUAAUACCGCAUAACGUCGCAAGACCAAAGAGGGGGACCUUCGG